GAUUAAGUAGCUCAGUGGUUAGAGCAACGGACUGAAAAUCCGUGUGUCGAUGGUUCAAUUCCACCCUUAAUCA
RNAcentral lists this transfer RNA (73 nucleotides) under Candidatus Nasuia deltocephalincola. RNAcentral's name for it is "Candidatus Nasuia deltocephalinicola tRNA". It matches the Rfam family "tRNA". From Rfam's summary of the family: Transfer RNA (tRNA) molecules are approximately 80 nucleotides in length. Their secondary structure includes four short double-helical elements and three loops (D, anti-codon, and T loops). The record is from Rfam by way of RNAcentral. Lineage: Bacteria; Pseudomonadati; Pseudomonadota; Betaproteobacteria.